CCAGCAGGGACCACGUUCACUUCCGCCCAGCUGUCUUCCUUCAGCUUUGACAUUGCCCUGCCACCCAGAGAGAAACUCCUGCCUGAGCUGUGCCCGAUGGGGAGAGGAGGACACAGCAUGUGCAGGGAAGAUGCUUCCAGGCAGAUAGGACUCUCUGGCGUGAUCUGCCCAGGGGGGCAACCUCUCUUCUCCGCAGGUUCACAUGUCCAGUCUGACCCGUGACAUUCGACAGUGGAGGCUGGAGACAGAAGUCCAAAUGGAAAAGGAAUGUUCUGGCUUGUUAGCUGAUAAAGGUCCAGUUGGGAGUUUUGGAGACCCAGCCUGACAAGGAGCCCUGGCUCUCUUAACUUUUGAUGAUUGUGUUACAAAUUGAGGAGAUGCAGCUAUGACAUUUAAAGAAACUUUAACACGCCUGGAUGUGGUGUGCAUACCUAAAUAUAUUUAAAUAUUUGAUUCAGAAAA
Long non-coding RNA from Dipodomys spectabilis (banner-tailed kangaroo rat), 462 nucleotides. RefSeq lists it as uncharacterized. Lineage: Eukaryota; Metazoa; Chordata; Mammalia; Rodentia; Heteromyidae. The record is from RefSeq and is a predicted model, not a curated record. The transcript has 3 exons.